GGCCUGUUAGCUCAGCUGAUUAGAGUGUGGUGCUAAUAACGCCAAGGUUGUGGGUUCGAUCCCCACAUGGGCCA
RNAcentral lists this transfer RNA (74 nucleotides) under Danionella translucida. It matches the Rfam family "tRNA". From Rfam's summary of the family: Transfer RNA (tRNA) molecules are approximately 80 nucleotides in length. Their secondary structure includes four short double-helical elements and three loops (D, anti-codon, and T loops). Lineage: Eukaryota; Metazoa; Chordata; Actinopteri; Cypriniformes; Danionidae. RNAcentral also lists the same sequence under 1 other name. The record is from Rfam by way of RNAcentral.